RNAcentral lists this ribosomal RNA (450 nucleotides) under uncultured Glomus. RNAcentral describes it as "SSU rRNA". It matches the Rfam family "Eukaryotic small subunit ribosomal RNA", at positions 569 to 1024 of the family's 1831-position model. The record is from RNAcentral. Lineage: Eukaryota; Fungi; Glomeromycota; Glomeromycetes; Glomerales; Glomeraceae. RNAcentral also lists the same sequence under 1 other name.
AGCAGCCGCGGUAAUUCCAGCUCCAAUAGCGUAUAUUAAAGUUGUUGCAGUUAAAAAGCUCGUAGUUGAAUUUCGGGAUCAAUUUGCUGGUCGUGCCUCUGGUACGUACUGGUAUUAUUGGUUUCUCCCUUCUGACGAACCAUGAUGUCAUUAAUUUGAUGUCGUGGAGAAUCAGGACUGUUACUUUGAAAAAUUAGAGUGUUUAAAGCAGGCAUUAGCUUGAAUACAUUAGCAUGGAAUAAUGAAAUAGGACGUUUGAUCCUAUUUUGUUGGUUUCUAGGAUUGACGUAAUGAUUAAUAGGGAUAGUUGGGGGCAUUAGUAUUCAAUUGUCAGAGGUGAAAUUCUUGGAUUUAUUGAAGACUAACUACUGCGAAAGCAUUUGCCAAGGAUGUUUUCAUUAAUCAAGAACGAAAGUUAGGGGAUCGAAGACGAUCAGAUACCGUCGUAGU